UAAUAUAAAACGCCAAAUUUCAUUCUUGAAAACGGGGGAACCACUCUUUUGGGGUGAACUACCUUUGGUAGCGGGCUAUCUUUCGGUCCGAAUCCGUCAGCUAACUCCGUCGGCGUGGAAAGCGAGGAAGG
This 131-nucleotide small RNA is filed under the name Desulforamulus aeronauticus. RNAcentral describes it as "Desulfotomaculum aeronauticum c-di-AMP sequence". It matches the Rfam family "c-di-AMP riboswitch aptamer (ydaO/yuaA leader)". Rfam says of the family: This family represents a conserved RNA structure found upstream of the ydaO and yuaA genes in Bacillus subtilis and related genes in other bacteria. The ydaO/yuaA element is thought to act as a genetic "off" switch for the ydaO and yuaA genes in its native state. Lineage: Bacteria; Bacillati; Bacillota; Clostridia; Eubacteriales; Peptococcaceae. The record is from RNAcentral.